This 253-nucleotide ribosomal RNA is filed under the name uncultured bacterium. Its description in RNAcentral is "partial 16S ribosomal RNA". It matches the Rfam family "Bacterial small subunit ribosomal RNA", at positions 524 to 776 of the family's 1533-position model. The record is from RNAcentral.
UACAGAGGUCUCAAGCGUUGUUCGGAUUCAUUGGGCGUAAAGGGCGCGUAGGCGGCCUGUUAAGUCGAACGUGAAAUCCCCGGGCUCAACCCGGGAACUGCGUCCGAUACUGGCAGGCUUGAAUCCGGGAGAGGGAUGCGGAAUUCCAGGUGUAGCGGUGAAAUGCGUAGAUAUCUGGAGGAACACCGGUGGCGAAGGCGGCAUCCUGGACCGGCAUUGACGCUGAGGCGCGAAAGCCAGGGGAGCAAACGGG